Molecule: long non-coding RNA, 291 nt
Organism: Homo sapiens (human)
Lineage: Eukaryota; Metazoa; Chordata; Mammalia; Primates; Hominidae
Exons: 2
Source: RefSeq, a predicted model, not a curated record
UGUCUUCUGUUUAGAGAAGAGGACUGGCUUCUCCUGCACCUGAGGCCUGGAGGGUAAAGCAGAGGAGCAGAAGCAAUAAACAUGGGGUCUUUCAAAAAUUGGCUCAAUUGUCAUCUACAUUUUACAGAGGAGAAAAAAAGGCUCAGAGAUAUAACAUGACUUUCCCAAGGCCACAGGCCUUGAAAGUACAAAUUGGAUCAUCCUUAUCGACACCUUCCUGUGGCAAUCAGAAUAAAACAUCGAUGUCGGACCAGGACCUAAGUGUGAUACGAGUCCUGCUAACAUCUCUGA